This 28-nucleotide small RNA is filed under the name Bombyx mori (domestic silkworm). Its description in RNAcentral is "ovarian small RNA-15697". The record is from RNAcentral. Lineage: Eukaryota; Metazoa; Arthropoda; Insecta; Lepidoptera; Bombycidae.
GAGACUUUGAGCCCCCCCAGAUGGACGC